UCGGUCCCGGUUCACCCCAGUGCAUGGAGACCCGGCGGCC
RNAcentral lists this non-coding RNA (40 nucleotides) under unclassified sequences. RNAcentral's name for it is "L31-Actinobacteria ribosomal protein leader". It matches the Rfam family "L31-Actinobacteria ribosomal protein leader". The record is from RNAcentral.